UUGCAUGCCACUUUGAUUUCUGUAACGAGUUUCAACUUUCAACAUAUACCUUCUACUAGUAGUGGAAAUCAAGCAUUCGUUGUUUCUUAGGAUUCCUUUAUCUUGGCGAGUGGCUAUUGUGGUCAUCAAUCUACAUCUACUACUUUUGCACUAUCAAGCAACAUGUCUUCGGAGUAAGGGCCUGUUUGUUUAUCCUCCAGAUUAUAUAAUCUAGAUUAAAUAAUCCUAAGAGGCAAACAAACAGUCCAGCUUAUUUGCCCAGAUUAUAUAAUCUAACCCCUUGGAUUAUGAUAAUCCAUAAGCAAGUGGGGAGAUGCUUAUUUCAGAUUAUUUUUUUCCCACUUCCCCACUACCCUUUCAAGUUUCCUAGAAAUUACCCACCAUUGCCAUUAUAAUCCACCGAAUCGGUUUUGCGCCUAGUACUAGUCAAUUUGGGGAUGAAGAAGGUGACAUGAAUGCCUUCCGUGAUAAUAUUGCUAAUGCAAUAUUUGCCAAUGUCAAUUGAAUUUUUUUUUCAUACAUGAGUUUCAACCUAGUACAAAUAUAGAGGGCAUUCUUGUCUUCCUCAUACAAAAGAAUCAUAUUAACAACUCAAAUAAUCUAGGUAAACAAACAGGACUACUCAAUCCAAAAUAAUCCGGAUUAUAUAAUCCAAAUUAUAUAAUCCUCCAAAAAUAAUCCAGAUUAUAUAAUCUAUAGGGGUAAACAAACAGGCCCUAAGACAUGUUUCUUAGGGUUCCUAUUUUUUAUUGGUCAUCGUUUAUCAACAUAUCUUGUUUUCCUUCCUAUAUACUAUUUGUCAUCUUCACUAACCAAAACUGUUUAUCGCAGCUUCGCUAAUCAGAUAUCGAAGCGGAGUAGUUUCUUUUUGGAUCCGCACCAUUCAACUUUGGUUCCAUUCCUUUCAACCGGUUUUAAUUAAGACGCCUCACUCUGAUUUCAAUCAUUACAACCAGUUCAAGACAUUAUACUCCUUUUACUGUCAACCCUGAUUUUACUCUUUUUAUCCUAGUUUAAGAUAGUUCACUAUGAUUUCAGUCAUGUUAUUUUAUUUGCAUUGGUAUGGGUGCCCACGAGUUUCACAUCCAUCAGUUGUGAAUCUAGGUGUCAAAUUCCACUCAUGGGUUUACACCCGACCCGACCUCCUAAAAUGAUGGGAUGUUGGGUUGUGUUUAGGUGUGACUUUUCACCCAUGUGUGCCCGAUGAGUCUUAGAAUACGAAUUUUGAGUCCUUGUUCGCACACGAUUUUAGUCUAGCCCAAUAAAAUCCUAGGUCAUUGUAAUACCCAAGUUGUAAAGAGUAAAAAAAUUGCCUUAUAUGAUUUGCCCCUAUUUAUUAGUACAUGUGAACACCCACAAUUAAAAGUGAAAUAAUUAAUAAAUGACACGUAAGUAAGUAACCUAUGCAUCAUGCUGGACUUCUUUUGUUUGUUUGUGCAUCAAACACAAAAAUUAUAAAGGAGGCAAGUCUAGUUUCGAAUUCAAAUUAGGGCAUCAAAUAAAAUGGGAAUAGUAGAGUUAAAGAAUGUAGGAUAUCCAAUGAUUAUGCUAAUAAAUAAGUGAUAAUUAUCUCAAAAGGAGAUAGUAUUAUUCAUAAUAAGGUUUAAUUAGCCGCAUGAAGGUAUGAAGUUCAAAUCACUAAUUCAAAUUUAUUAGAAAACUUGAAAUUGGCAAAAUAAAAAGAAAUAAGAAAAAGGAAAAUCUCAAACUCGCGUGCUGGGCCGUUAUUUCCAUGGCUCGACCCAUUCCACAGAGUCCAUCGCCCCCGCGCGGCCCACCUCCUACUGCUAGAAUUGACGCACCGGUGGUCACUAAACCGCGGGACCGCCCUAUCACACUAACCACGACCUCGGUCCACUUCUCAGUCUCCCGGACGCUUUCCGCUAGUCAUUGACUGGUGGACCACCCCGGCGGAGGUCUUCUUCUCCGCGAAUCUUGCGUGCGGGCGUAACAGAACGCCGCCGCACCCUCACCACCUCCGCCACGAUCCCCUCGCCCCGCUGACUGGUUAGCCUAUCCACUUGCACAUAUAAGUCGGGAUGGGGCCCCUUGGCCGCGCUCGCGCGUCCCAUGCCAUUGAGAACAGCCCAGCCACUGUUCCAUAGUUCCGAGAAGAGGUUGAGAGAGGGAGAGAGAGAGAGGGAGAGAGGGCACUGCGAGGUCGCAGCGACUCCUCAUCGUCGAGCGUGGUCCAGUGGGUGCCUUGGUGGAGCGCCUAGAAGGGUGAAUUGUAGCGCGUGCCUCCUGGAUGAAUUGUGGCUCUGGUCCCAGGGAAUUCCUCACCAGAAUUUGUAUCUCCAUCGCGGGACCGUCCUCCGCCGUGACCCUGAGUUUCUGUUGCGCCACCGUUGGUGAGGCUUCUCUUGAGUUCACUACCUCUUCCUCGUUGCUUUGCAUCAAGUAGGGGAUCGAACUUGGUCACUGGUUUGGAGUUUGCGAGUGCUCCGGCGAGCCUUAGCCGUGCGCGUUGGGCGGUGCCGCCGUCGGGAUGGCCUGUGGGCAGGGGGGCUAACCGGAGCCGUAGAUCGUUGCGUGGACGAUCGCGAUUAGAUUCAAGAUACCCCCUUCGUCGAUGUUGAUCUGGCGCAUUGAUCAGUGAUCGUGCGAUCGGGACGGGUUUUCCGAUUCAUUAAAUCCUGAACGUGUGACCUAGAUCCGACGGUUGUGAUUAGAAGGCAGGCGCAGGGAUGUAGAUCUAAUCUGUCGCGUGAAUUUUGGAUCCGACGGCCCUGGACCCACGAUGCCUCUUCGCGGAUCAGUUUUGCACAUGAGUCACUCUGUUAUUUUAGAAUAAACCCGCCGUCCACAUUCACUAUUCAUUGAGUCUAGGAAUUAAUGCGCAGAGACCCCUGUGCUUUCCAGAAAAUGAGGCCUAGUCCAGAGUAAUAUACAACCAGAGAAAUUAAAUUAUAAGUGAAUUUUUAAUGUAUAAAUAAAUGCUAGAACUUGUAUAAAUCAUAGAAAAUUCAAAUAAACUCCAAAUUAAUCCAUUUCACUUCCUAUAAUUUUGUAAUAUUAUUCUCUAUCAAAUAGUGUCUCUGUUUUGACAUGAAAAACAUAUUAAAAUGUAUCUCCUAAUUAAUCUUGUAUCAAAUACAUAAAACCUAAGACAAAAUUAAAAUUAUUUCUCUAUUUAAAAAAAUGCUCUGAGCCAUGAUGGAUUCCACACCUUGGAAUCCUACACUUAUGAUCUUUUUAAGAGAUAGGAAACCUAAGACAAAAUUAAAACUAUUUCUCUAUUUUAAAAAAUGUUGGUUGAUUGUUCUGAUGAUCAAUGCCUGAUUUGCUUCUUUGAUUGAUUGAAAUAGUAUAGAUGUCCAUCUUAGCAUGUACCACCAUAAGGUAAUGAAUUAACUUUAGUAUGCAAUACACUUAGCUAAUAAAUCCCCAAAAGUAACAUGCUUCGUAAUUACAUGCCUUGUCCACAAUCCUUUCUUUCUUACCCUGUGUUUCUAACACAGAUGGGCUACCCCUAUCGUGUUAGAAGAGAGCAGUAUAGACGUGAUCCUUGGUAUGUCAUGGUUAAGAAAGGCAAAGGCAGUUUACACACUGUGCUAAAGGAACCAUAGAAUCACCAGUUCCAAAGGAGAAAGAUUUGAAGUUGGUAGAUGGGAAGUUUGUUGGUGACAACAUCCGUGUGGUUAGGGAUUUUUCGAAUGUCUGUAGAAGAGUUAAUAGAACUUAAGAAGCAGUUAACAGAGUUGCAAGAGGCUGGGUACAUUCGACUGAGUUCUUCACCUUGGGGAGCGCCGAUUCUGUUUGUACAAAAGGACGGAUCACAACUGAUGUGUGUGGAUUAUAGGUCCCUUAAUGAUGUUACCGUGAAGAACAAGUACCCGUUACCCCGCAUUGAGGAUUUAUUUGAUCAGAUGAGAGGUGCUAGGGUAUUCUCGAAGAUUGAUCUCCGAUCGGGUUAUCACCAAGUGAAGAUUAGGCCAUCGGAUAUUCCCAAGAUGACUUUCUCAACCUGAUAUGGUUUAUAUGAGUUCACUUUAUGUCAUUUGGACUAACUAAUGCACCAACCUAUUUUAUGAAUCUAAAGAAUAAGGUGAUCAUGAUCUAGACAAAUUCGUCGUGGUUUUCAUCGACGAUAUUCUUAAUUAUUCCAAGAGUGACAGUGAUCAUGAGGAACAUCUGAGAUUGGUGCUACAGAAGCUACGAGAUAAUCAACUUUAUUCCAAGUAUAGCAAAUGCGAGUUAUGGAUUGACAAGGUGCCAUUCCUUGGACAUAUCAUUUCUAAUGGAGGGAUAUCAGUGGAUCCUGCUAAAGUCAAGGAGAUAGUGGCGUGGAGCAUACCCACUACAGUUACUGAGGUCCAGAGUUUCUUGGGACUUGUAGGAUAUUAUUAGAGAUUUAUUGAAGGAUGUUAUAGAUUGCUAAGCCUAUGACCUCACUUCUGGAGAAGGGAAGAGAGUUUAAGUGGGACGAGAAGUUCCAAGAUAGUUUUAACCAACUGAAGUUGAGAUUGAUGUCACCCCUAGUAUUGGUUAUGCUAGAUCUACAGAAGGGAUUUGACAUAUAUUGUGAUGCAUGCGACCAAGGCAUGGGAUGUGUACUUAUGCGAGAAGGACACGUGAUUGCCUACGCGUCUCGUUAGUUGCAGAAACAUGAGUUGAACUACCCCACUCAAGACUUAGAACUGGCAGCCGUAGUGCAUGCUCUAAAGAUAUGGAAGCAUUAUAUCAUGGGAACCAAGUGCCAAGUGUACACGGAUCAUAAGAGUUUGUAGUACAUAUUCACUCAGAAGGAUCUCAAUCUUAGGCAACGCCGAUGGUUGGAGCUUAUUAAGGAUUAUGAUUUGGAAAUUCACUAUCACCUAGGCAAGGUGAAUUUGGUUGCAUAUGCCUUGAGUCAAAAGGAGCAUGUUCAUUCAGCUAUUGUUGCCCAGCUACCCGAUGAGAUUGUUGAGGAUUUCAGGAGACUUAACCUGGGGAUAGUUACUCACAUUGAAGGAGUUACUAUUGAUGUGGAACCUACCUUGGAGCAAGAAAUCCGCAAAGGACAGACUAGCGAUGCUAAAAUACAAGAGAUCAAGGAUCUUAUUACUGAAGGUAGAGGUUCAGAGUUCACGAAGGAUGAGCAAGGCACCGUAUGGUUCAAGGACAGGAUAUGUGUUCCUGAUAUUGAUAGCCUUCGUGAGACUAUAUUGAAGGAGGCCCAUGAUUUAGAUUAUUCUAUUCAUCCUGGUAGCACCAAGAUGUAUCAGGAUUUGAAGCAGAAAUACUGGUGGUAUGGAUUGAAGAGAGAUGUGUGUCAAAGAGUUAAGGCUGAACACCAGAGGCCAACUGGACUACUGCAUCCACUAAAGAUACCCAAGUGGAAGUGGGAAGAGAUUGGUAUGGAUUUCAUUACUGGAUUGCCUCGCACCCAGAAAGGAUAUGACUCUAUAUGGGUGAUUGUGGAUAGACUGACUAAAGUAGCCCACUUCAUUCCUGUCAAGACUACUUAUAAAGGCUCUCAGCUAGCAGAGCUGUAUAUGGCUCGAAUUGUGUGUUUACAUGGAGUACCAAAGAAGAUCGUGUCUGAUCAAGGUUCACAGUUUACCUCAAGAUUCUGGAGAAGCUUUCAUGAGAAUAUGAAUACAAAGUUGAAUUUUAGUACGACUUAUCACCCUCAGACUGAUGGACAGACUGAAAGGACUAAUCAAGUAUUGGAAGAUAUGUUGAGAGCUUCUACCCUUCAGCAUGGAGGCAGUUGGGAUAAAAGUCUACCAUAUGCUAAGUUCUCAUAUAAUAAUAGUUACCAGACCAGUCUGAAGAUGUCACCAUUCGAGGCUUUAUAUGGCACGAAAUGCAGGACUCCUCUAUAUUGGGAUCAGACUGGAGAAAGACAGUUCUUUGGGCCUGAACUGAUUCAAGAGGCAGAAGAACAAGUCUGCAUAAUUCGAGAGAAUUUGAGGGUAGCUCAAACAAGGCAAAAGAGCUAUGCUGAUAAUAGGAGUCCACUGGAAUUUGAGGAAGGAGAUCAUGUGUACCUCAAGGUGUCACCACUUCGUGGAAUGAGGAGAUUCAAGGUUAAGGGCACAUUGUCCCCUCGCUUUAUUGGACCAUUCAGAAUCUUUAGGCGAGUUGGGGAUAUGGCAUACCAGCUCGAGCUACCGGAUAAUCUAUCUGAUGUGCAUAAUGUAUUCCAUGUGUCUCAACUAAAGAAGUGUCUUCGUGUCCCUGAGAACAAUUACCAAUGAAGGAGCUCAGUGUUCAGGGAGAUUUGACUUACACGGAGUAUCCUAUUAAGAUUCUUGACACUUUGACUCGAGUUACAAGAAAUAAGGUGAUAAAGAUGUGCAAAGUACAAUGGAGUCAUAAUGGAGAAGAUGAAGCUACUUGGAGAGAGAAGAAGAGCUUCGCAUAGAUUUUCCCCAUCUUUUCUCUAGUUCUUCCUAAAUCUCGAGGACGAGAUUCUUGUUAAGGGGGGUAGGAUUUGUAAUACCCAAGUUGUAAAGAGUAAAAAAAUUGCCUUAUAUGAUUUGCCCCUAUUUAUUAGUACAUGUGAACACCCACAAUUAAAAGUGAAUUAAUUAAUAAAUGACACGUAAGUAACCUAUGCAUCAUGUUGGACAUCUUUUGUUUGUUUGUGCAUCAAACACAAAAUUUAUAAAGGAGGCAAGUCUAGUUUCGAAUCAAAUUAGGGCAUCAAAUAAAAUGGGAAUAGUAGAGUUAAAGAAUGGAGGAUAUCCAAUGAUUAUGCCAAUAAAUAAGUGAUAAUUAUCUCAAAAGGAGAUAGUAUUAUUCAUAAUAAGGUUUAAUUAGCCACAUGAAGGUAUGAAGUUCAAAUCACUAAUUCAAAUUUAUUAGAAAACUUGAA
RNAcentral lists this long non-coding RNA (6805 nucleotides) under Zea mays. Its description in RNAcentral is "long non-coding RNA (ZMAY_LNC001090)". The record is from RNAcentral. Lineage: Eukaryota; Viridiplantae; Streptophyta; Magnoliopsida; Poales; Poaceae.